GUGGUACUAAGCGUACGACAAGUAGGGCGGGACACGAGAAAUCCUGUCUGAACAUGGGGGGACCAUCCUCCAAGGCUAAAUACUCGUAAUCGACCGAUAGUGAACCAGUACCGUGAGGGAAAGGCGAAAAGAACCCCGGGAGGGGAGUGAAAUAGAUCCUGAAACCGUGUGCAUACAAACAGUCGGAGCCUCUUCGUGGGGUGACGGCGUACCUUUUGUAUAAUGGGUCAGCGACUUACAUUCAGUGGCAAGGUUAACCAGAUUGGGGAGCCGUAGAGAAAUCGAGUCCGAACAGGGCGCCAGUCGCUGGGUGUAGACCCGAAACCAAGUGAUCUAUCCAUGGCCAGGUUGAAGGUGCGGUAACACGCACUGGAGGACCGAACCCACUAAUGUUGAAAAAUUAGGGGAUGAGCUGUGGAUAGGGGUGAAAGGCUAAACAAACUUGGAAAUAGCUGGUUCUCUCCGAAAACUAUUUAGGUAGUGCCUCAAGUAUCACCAUCGGGGGUAGAGCACUGUUAUGGCUAGGGGGUCAUCGCGACUUACCAAACCAUUGCAAACUCCGAAUACCGAUGAGUGCGAGCUUGGGAGACAGACGUCGGGUGCUAACGUCCGGCGUCAAGAGGGAAACAACCCAGACCGCCAGCUAAGGUCCCAAAGAUUGGCUAAGUGGAAAACGAAGUGGGAAGGCUAAAACAGUCAGGAUGUUGGCUUAGAAGCAGCCAUCAUUUAAAGAAAGCGUAAUAGCUCACUGAUCGAGUCGUCCUGCGCGGAAGAUGUAACGGGGCUAAGCCAGUCACCGAAGCUGCGGAUAU
RNAcentral lists this ribosomal RNA (812 nucleotides) under Pseudoduganella rivuli. RNAcentral's name for it is "partial 23S ribosomal RNA". It matches the Rfam family "Bacterial large subunit ribosomal RNA", at positions 391 to 1209 of the family's 2925-position model. The record is from RNAcentral. Lineage: Bacteria; Pseudomonadati; Pseudomonadota; Betaproteobacteria; Burkholderiales; Oxalobacteraceae.